This 1009-nucleotide ribosomal RNA is filed under the name uncultured bacterium. RNAcentral's name for it is "bacterial SSU rRNA". It matches the Rfam family "Bacterial small subunit ribosomal RNA", at positions 54 to 1074 of the family's 1533-position model. The record is from RNAcentral.
CACGCAAGUCGAACGGAUCCCAUGGUCUAGCAAUAGGUCGGAAGGGUGAGUGGCGAACGGGUGAGUAACACGUGAGGAACCUGCCCCGGACUCAGGGAUAACGGCUGGAAACGGCUGCUAAUACCUGAUGCCGUCGUAUCAUCGCAUGGUGGUGUGACGAAAGAAUCUCGGUUUGGGAGGGUCUCGCGGCCUAUCAGCUUGUUGGUGGGGUAAUGGCCUACCAAGGCGUCGACGGGUAGCUGGUCUGAGAGGAUGAUCAGCCACACUGGGACUGAGACACGGCCCAGACUCCUACGGGAGGCAGCAGUGGGGAAUCUUGCGCAAUGGGCGAAAGCCUGACGCAGCAACGCCGCGUGCGGGAAGAAGGCCUUAGGGUUGUAAACCGCUUUCAGUAGGAACGAAAUUGACGGUACCUGCAGAAGAAGGUGCGGCCAACUACGUGCCAGCAGCCGCGGUGACACGUAGGCACCGAGCGUUGUCCGGAUUUAUUGGGCGUAAAGAGCUCGUAGGCGGUUGAGUAAGUCGGGUGUGAAAACUCUGGGCUUAACCCAGAGCCGCCACUCGAUACUGCUCUGACUUGAGUUCGGUAGGGGAGCAGGGAAUUCCUAGUGUAGCGGUGAAAUGCGCAGAUAUUAGGAGGAACACCGGUGGCGAAGGCGCUGCUCUGGGCCGAAACUGACGCUGAGGAGCGAAAGCGUGGGUAGCAAACAGGAUUAGAUACCCUGGUAGUCCACGCCGUAAACGUUGGGCACUAGGUGUGGGUUCCAACCAACGGAAUCCGCGCCGUCGCUAACGCAUUAAGUGCCCCGCCUGGGGAGUACGGCGGCAACGCUAAAACUCAAAGGAAUUGACGGGGGCCCGCACAAGCAGCGGAGCGUGUUGCUUAAUUCGAUGCAACGCGAAGAACCUUACCUGGGUUUGACAUGCUAGGAAAAGCUGUAGAGAUAUGGUGUCCUUCGGGGCUUAGCACAGGUGGUGCAUGGCUGUCGUCAGCUCGUGUCGUGAGAUG